AACGAACGCUGGCGGCAUGCCUAACACAUGCAAGUCGAACGAGACCUUCGGGUCUAGUGGCGCACGGGUGCGUAACGCGUGGGAACCUGCCCUUAGGUUCGGAAUAACUCCCCGAAAGGGGUGCUAAUACCGGAUAAUGUCUUCGGACCAAAGAUUUAUCGCCUUUGGAUGGGCCCGCGUUGGAUUAGCUAGUUGGUAGGGUAAAAGCCUACCAAGGCGACGAUCCAUAGCUGGUCUGAGAGGAUGAUCAGCCACACUGGGAAUGAGACACGGCCCAGACUCCCACGGGAGGGAGGAGUGGGGAAUAUUGGACAAGGGGCGAAAGCCUGAUCCAGCAAUGCCGGGGGAGUGAUGAAGGGCUUAGGGAUGUAAAGCUCUUUUACCCGGGAUGAUAAUGACAGUAACGGGAGAAUAAGCUCCGGCUAACUCCGUG
This 433-nucleotide ribosomal RNA is filed under the name uncultured bacterium. RNAcentral describes it as "partial 16S ribosomal RNA". It matches the Rfam family "Bacterial small subunit ribosomal RNA", at positions 29 to 507 of the family's 1533-position model. The record is from RNAcentral.